UUUAAAAAAAAAAAAAAAAGAAACUCAGUAUCUAGCAUCGUUGGUUUUCUUGGCUUCGUGCUGUUAAACCUGGUAUUUUUAUUGAAACAGUA
Molecule: small nucleolar RNA, 92 nt
Organism: Zalophus californianus (California sea lion)
Lineage: Eukaryota; Metazoa; Chordata; Mammalia; Carnivora; Otariidae
Source: Ensembl